This 308-nucleotide long non-coding RNA is filed under the name Capsicum annuum. Its description in RNAcentral is "long non-coding RNA (CANN_LNC011381)". Lineage: Eukaryota; Viridiplantae; Streptophyta; Magnoliopsida; Solanales; Solanaceae. The record is from RNAcentral.
CCCCGCAUACAAGCUCUCAAACGUCGCUGUCUUAGCCGUCGUAACUGCUAGCUUAGCCUCCUUUCUUGCUACUUUGUAGACCUCCCUAUUCACCCUCUUCUCCUCUACAUCUUUAAUCUUAAUCAAAUUAACAUACGCCCCCUUCUUAAUCUCUACUUUCUUCUUAACUUCUUCAUUCCACCACCAGUCCCCCUUAUGUCAUCCUGCCCGACCCCUCGAAACACCCAACACUUCUCUAGCAGUCUCCGAUGCAACUGGCAGCCUUAUCCCACAUAGAAUCCACGUCCCCCCCUACAAUCCCACACCCC